AUUCAGCUUUGAGUCAGUUUUACAACAAACCUCACUCCUUCAAGAGAAGUGUGGGGCUCUGUUUACUUGCAGAAGCAUAACAUCCGAGAACAGCAGCAUAACAUCUUGAGCAUGUAUAUUGUAUCUGUGUUUACACUGUAGUUGAUGACAAUGGACUUGGCUUGUGUCUUAUGUUCCAUCUCUGCUGCAGACUCACUGUGUUGUUCGAAGUCUGAUGUCUUCAUGGACAUCUUCUUAUCCUGUGCUGAGUGAAGGCCAGUCUGCCAAUUCAACUUCAACAUUUAAGCUAUGCAACAAGGUCAGGGAGGAGAUGGCCAGUUGUUGAGCUUCGAACGGGCAGAAAGCUGUACAAAAAGAUCAGGGUGGCGAUGGUCAGUUCUUGAGCUUCGAACAGGCAGAAAGCUAUGCAACAAGAUCAGGGUGGCGAUGGUCAGUUCUUGAGCUUCGAACGGGCAGAAAGCUAUGCAACAAGAUCCGGGUGGCGAUGGUCAGUUCUGGAGCUUCGAACGGGCAGAAAGCUAUGCAACAAGAUCAGGGUGUCGAUGGUCAGUUCUUGAGCUUCGAACGGGCAGAAGG
Sycon ciliatum is the source of this 576-nucleotide long non-coding RNA. RefSeq lists it as uncharacterized. The transcript has 6 exons. NCBI's taxonomy places the organism in Eukaryota, Metazoa, Porifera, Calcarea, Leucosolenida, Sycettidae. The record is from RefSeq and is a predicted model, not a curated record.